RNAcentral lists this ribosomal RNA (810 nucleotides) under uncultured bacterium. Its description in RNAcentral is "bacterial SSU rRNA". It matches the Rfam family "Bacterial small subunit ribosomal RNA", at positions 58 to 917 of the family's 1533-position model. The record is from RNAcentral.
CAAGUCGAACGCAGUAGCAAUACUGAGUGGCAGACGGGUGAGUAACAUGUGGGAAUCUGCCUUGUGGUUCAGGACAACAUUGGGAAACCGAUGCUAAUACUGGAUAAGCCCUUACGGGGAAAGUUUUAAUGCCAUAAGAUGAGCCCGCAUUUGAUUAGUUAGUUGGUGAGGUAAUGGCUCACCAAGACAAUGAUCAAUAGCUGAUCUGAGAGGAUGAUCAGCCACACUGGGACUGAGACACGGCCCAGACUCCUACGGGAGGCAGCAGUGGGGAAUCUUGCACAAUGGAGGAAACUCUGAUGCAGCGAUGCCGCGUGAGUGAAGAAGGCCUUUGGGUUGUAAAGCUCUUUUGUAGGGGAAGAUAAUGACUGUACCCUAAGAAUAAGGUCCGGCUAACUUCGUGCCAGCAGCCGCGGUAAUACGAAGGGACCUAGCGUAGUUCGGAAUUACUGGGCGUAAAGCGCGCGUAGGCCGUUGAGUUAGUUAAUUGUGAAAUCCCAAAGCUUAACUUUGGAACUGCAAUUAAAACUGCUCGACUAGAGUUUGAUAGAGGAAAGCGGAAUACAUAGUGUAGAGGUGAAAUUCGUAGAUAUUAUGUAGAACACCAGUUGCGAAGGCGGCUUUCUGGAUCAACACUGACGCUGAGGCGCGAAAGUAUGGGUAGCAAAGAGGAUUAGAUACCCUCGUAGUCCAUACCAUAAACGAUGAUUGCUAGAUGUUGGAAAUUUAUUUUCAGUAUCGCAGCUAACGCAUUAAGCAAUCCGCCUGGGGAGUACGACCGCAAGGUUAAAACUCAAAUGAAUUGACGGG